RNAcentral lists this ribosomal RNA (497 nucleotides) under uncultured bacterium. Its description in RNAcentral is "partial 16S ribosomal RNA". It matches the Rfam family "Bacterial small subunit ribosomal RNA", at positions 28 to 507 of the family's 1533-position model. The record is from RNAcentral.
GAUGAACGCUGGCGGCGUGCCUAACACAUGCAAGUCGAGCGGACAGACGAGGCUUUUGCUCGGCUGACGUGAGGGGCGGGCGGGUGAGUCACACGAGUAUACCCUACCUAUAGGACUGAGAUCCCUAAGGGAAAGCGGAUACAACAUAGGACAAUAUAUUGAACCGCGGGGUUCUUUGGACAUGGCCGGUUUUGCUGUCACUAAUUGAGGGUUCCUAGCCGGAUGAGCUAGUUGGUACGGUAACGGCCUACCAAGGCUAGGAUGCGUAGCCGACCUGAGAGGCUGAUCGGCCACACUGGAGCUGAGACACGGUCCAGACUCCUACGGGAGGCAGCAGUCGGGAAUCUUCGGCAAUGGGCGAAAGCCUGACGCAGCGACGCCGCGUGUGUGAUGAAGGUCUUCGGAUCGUAAAGCUCUGUUACUGGGGAGGAACGGCUGUGUGAUGAAACAUGGCCGUCUUGACGGUACCUAGUGAAGAAGCCCCGGCUAACUACGUG